Molecule: ribosomal RNA, 1522 nt
Filed under: metagenome
Description: bacterial SSU rRNA
Rfam family: Bacterial small subunit ribosomal RNA
Source: RNAcentral
AGAGUUUGAUCAUGGCUCAGAUUGAACGCUGGCGGCAGGCCUAACACAUGCAAGUCGAACGGUAACAGGAAACAGCUUGCUGUUUCGCUGACGAGUGGCGGACGGGUGAGUAAUGUCUGGGAAACUGCCUGAUGGAGGGGGAUAACUACUGGAACCGGUAGCUAAUACCGCAUAACGUCGCAAGACCAAAGAGGGGGACCUUCGGGCCUCUUGCCAUCAGAUGUGCCCAGAUGGGAUUAGCUAGUAGGUGGGGUAACGGCUCACCUAGGCGACGAUCCCUAGCUGGUCUGAGAGGAUGACCAGCCACACUGGAACUGAGACACGGUCCAGACUCCUACGGGAGGCAGCAGUGGGGAAUAUUGCACAAUGGGCGCAAGCCUGAUGCAGCCAUGCCGCGUGUAUGAAGAAGGCCUUCGGGUUGUAAAGUACUUUCAGCGGGGAGGAAGGGAGUAAAGUUAAUACCUUUGCUCAUUGACGUUACCCGCAGAAGAAGCACCGGCUAACUCCGUGCCAGCAGCCGCGGUAAUACGGAGGGUGCAAGCGUUAAUCGGAAUUACUGGGCGUAAAGCGCACGCAGGCGGUUUGUUAAGUCAGAUGUGAAAUCCCCGGGCUCAACCUGGGAACUGCAUCUGAUACUGGCAAGCUUGAGUCUCGUAGAGGGGGGUAGAAUUCCAGGUGUAGCGGUGAAAUGCGUAGAGGUCUGGAGGAAUACCGGUGGCGAAGGCGGCCCCCUGGGCGAAGACUGACGCUCAGGUGCGAAAGCGUGGGGAGCAAACAGGAUUAGAUACCCUGGUAGUCCACGCCGUAAACGAUGUCGACUUGGAGGUUGUGCCCUUGAGGCGUGGCUUCCGGAGCUAACGCGUUAAAUCGACCGCCUGGGGAGUACGGCCGCAAGGUUAAAACUCAAAUGAAUUGACGGGGGCCCGCACAAGCGGUGGAGCAUGUGGUUUAAUUCGAUGCAACGCGAAGAACCUUACCUGGUCUUGACAUCCACGGAAGUUUUCAGAGAUGAGAAUGUGCCUUCGGGAACCGUGAGACAGGUGCUGCAUGGCUGUCGUCAGCUCGUGUUGUGAAAUGUUGGGUUAAGUCCCGCAACGAGCGCAACCCUUAUCCUUUGUUGCCAGCGGUCCGGCCGGGAACUCAAAGGAGACUGCCAGUGAUAAACUGGAGGAAGGUGGGGAUGACGUCAAGUCAUCAUGGCCCUUACGACCAGGGCUACACACGUGCUACAAUGGCGCAUACAAAGAGAAGCGACCUCGCGAGAGCAAGCGGACCUCAUAAAGUGCGUCGUAGUCCGGAUUGGAGUCUGCAACUCGACUCCAUGAAGUCGGAAUCGCUAGUAAUCGUGGAUCAGAAUGCCACGGUGAAUACGUUCCCGGGCCUUGUACACACCGCCCGCCACACCAUGGGAGUGGGUUGCGAAAGAAGUAGGUAGCUUAACCUUCGGGAGGGCGCUUACCACUUUGUGAUUCAUGACUGGGGUGAAGUCGAAACAAGGUAACCGUAGGGGAACCUGCGGUUG